AUUGAACGCUGGCGGCAGGCCUAACACAUGCAAGUCGAGCGGAUGAAGGGAGCUUGCUCCUGGAUUCAGCGGCGGACGGGUGGGUAAUGCCUAGGAAUCUGCCCGGUAGUGGGGGAUAACGUCCGGAAACGGGCGCUAAUACCGCAUACGUCCUGAGGGAGAAAGUGGGGGAUCUUCGGACCUCACGCUAUCAGAUGACCCUAGGUCGGAUUAGCUAGUUGGUGGGGUAAAGGCCUACCAAGGCGACGAUCCGUAACUGGUCUGAGAGGAUGAUCAGUCACACUGGAACUGAGACACGGUCCAGACUCCUACGGGAGGCAGCAGUGGGGAAUAUUGGACAAUGGGCGAAAGCCUGAUCCAGCCAUGCCGCGUGUGUGAAGAAGGUCUUCGGAUUGUAAAGCACUUUAAGUUGGGAGGAAGGGCAGUAAGUUAAUACCUUGCUGUUUUGACGUUACCAACAGAAUAAGCACCGGCUAACUUCGUG
This 484-nucleotide ribosomal RNA is filed under the name uncultured bacterium. RNAcentral describes it as "partial 16S ribosomal RNA". It matches the Rfam family "Bacterial small subunit ribosomal RNA", at positions 30 to 507 of the family's 1533-position model. The record is from RNAcentral.